This 510-nucleotide ribosomal RNA is filed under the name uncultured bacterium. RNAcentral describes it as "partial 16S ribosomal RNA". It matches the Rfam family "Bacterial small subunit ribosomal RNA", at positions 28 to 507 of the family's 1533-position model. The record is from RNAcentral.
GACGAACGCUGGCGGCGUGCUUAACACAUGCAAGUCGAACGAAGAGCGAUGGAAGCUUGCUUCUAUCAAUCUUAGUGGCGAACGGGUGAGUAACGCGUAAUCAACCUGCCCUUCAGAGGGGGACAACAGUUGGAAACGACUGCUAAUACCGCAUACGAUCUAAUCUCGGCAUCGAGGAUAGAUGAAAGGUGGCCUCUACAUGUAAGCUAUCACUGAAGGAGGGGAUUGCGUCUGAUUAGGUAGUUGGAGGGGUAACGGCCCACCAAGGCGAUGAUCAGUAGCCGGUCUGAGAGGAUGAACGGCCACAUUGGGACUGAGACACGGCCCAGACUCCUACGGGAGGCAGCAGUGGGGAAUCUUCCGCAAUGGACGAAAGUCUGACGGAGCAACGCCGCGGGAGUGAUGACGGCCUUCGGGUUGUAAAGCUCUGUUAAUCGGGACGAAAGGCCUUCUUGCGAAUAGUGAGAAGGAUUGACGGUACCGGAAUAGAAAGCCACGGCUAACUACGUG